This is a long non-coding RNA of Herpailurus yagouaroundi (jaguarundi), 2407 nucleotides long. RefSeq lists it as uncharacterized. Lineage: Eukaryota; Metazoa; Chordata; Mammalia; Carnivora; Felidae. The transcript has 2 exons. The record is from RefSeq and is a predicted model, not a curated record.
GAUGUGGGGCUCGAACUCACGGACCGCGAGAUCGUGACCUGGCCGAAGUCGGACGCUUAACCGACUGAGCCACCCAGGCGCCCCACGAGGUAGCUUUUUAAUGGCACCAAUUCCUUUCAUCCCAGGACACACACACCCCUUUGAAAUGUGUCUCCAUCCAGAGGUGAAAUUUAUUUCCCCACCCCUUGGUCUGGGCUGGCCUCAUGGCUUGCUUGGACCAAUGCAUGUGCCGGAAGUGAAGCUGUGCAUGUUCCGGAGCCCAGACACCGGGGGCCCUUGCUGCCUCUGCACCCACCCCCUUGGGGCCCAGCCCAGCUGCACGUCAGAAGCCCAGGCUGCACUGCUAAAUGAUACGGGCUACUGCAGAGGGCGGCCCUGAGGCCACGUGGAGAGAGGCCCAGCUGGCCCCGCCAUCCCAGCAGAACCCAGGCCUGGCUGACCCACCAGUCAAGUGAGUGCGGCCGCGUGAGAGCAGCCGCACUGCCCAGCUGGCCCACAGAAUCAGGGGAAUCCAUCAGUUGUUCCUUUCAGCCACUAAAAAUCCACAUGGUUUGUUACCUGGCAAGAGACGCCUGAAGCAACUAGGCUUCAACAGUGAAAAAGCUAAAAAUACGCAUUUGUCUAAGGUCAUUUCAGAACCGCCGAGUCGGGCCAUCCACCCUGUCAUAUCUCUGAAGUUCUGGCUGCUGGAGCAGAAAUGUCUCCACGGCACGGGGAGGGAGCAUCAUGUGGUUAGCGACUGGCUCUAUCUCGCCCACGCUGCCUCCCCGGGGGCUCCGUCAAGGCCCCGAACAGUGGGUGCUCCAAAGUUGCCAGGUUGGUGAAAAACCAAAAGACUCUGGUGCCUGCGUCAUAGCAUAGCUCAGAAGACACCUCCCAUGUCCCCGUCGGGAAUCCCAUAGCAGAGAGUCCCAGCCAGGACAUCCAGCAAGGCCUCUCGGCCACGGGGCUAGCAGCGAGCAGGCCACACGUGUCCUGGCACUGUUGGCUGCACUCAGUCUGGGUGUGGUGGGGCUGUGCGAGAGAGAGCAAGGUGGUUGGGGUCUAGCGAUGGGUGGGGGGGGGGGGUGAGGCUUUGUUUCUUACUUUGUGCUUAAGUGAGCAAAACCCGCAGAAGCUCAGGGAGAGGAAUGUGCAAAAGGAAGGGAAAAGGAAACUACCAUUUGUCAACUACCUCCUAUUCCCCCGGAGGCAUUCUGUGAACUUCCUCUCCGCUCACAACCACCCAGAGAAACAGGAGGAUCGUCCCCAUUCAUAGAACCCGCAGCUGACUCACAGAGAAGGAUACAUCUGCCCAAGAUCACACAGCCAGCAGGUGACAGAGCUAGGAUUUGAACCCUGUUCCAUCUCUCCUAAAGUUCAUGCUUUUCCCUUAAUGCCCUCGCUACCCUAGAGAAAAGGGAGAAAAAAAAAAAAGGCAAGAUAGAAAGAGGCCCGGCUCGGGGAAAGUCACACAGAGCGAAAAAGAAAAAACGAGAGUGGAAAGAGCACGAGGCCGCAGCCGAGGCCUGGAGCGGGUCCUCGGGGAGCAGCAGAGGGCGGGGAUGGCCGGAAACCGGCUCACCGAACCUGGAGCCAAGAACCAUGCUUGGCCUGAGACCUGGUGGAAAAGCUCUCACCUCAAGAUAGUGAAGUGGGGGAAACUGGCGGGCCGGCGUGGGGGGAGGUGGGGGUGCAGGGUCUGCCCAGGAGGAGGGCAGCGUGGCCGGAUGGCCAGGGGGCUGCCAAGCAGGGUUCUUCACACAUCAUCCAGCUCAAAUAACCACCGAGGCUGCUCAGGCUGGCAGGCCCUUGCUCCCGGACGUGCAGAGCCGCAGGCUUGGAGGCCGCGAGGGAGGAAGCAAUGACCGGGCCUUCCUGGAACACUGGUUGUUCUUUGCACAAACGCCUGAGUGGGGCCCAUAAGUAGGGUGGCUGUAGUUUAUUCUCUGGACCGGGACAGCUGGGAGUGAGUAGGGACAACAAGCAUACAGACACAGGUAUAUAGGGUACCCAGCCUCGAGGGUCCUGUGUGGCUGGGCCUGGCCUGUGCCUGUGGCCGGCCCCCCUGCCCCCCACCCUCUUCGUGCACACUGGCCUUCCUCUGCAGACACGUAGGGCCUUGGCAUUGCCUGGAACAGCCCGCCCUAUGCCAUCACCACCUCUCCACACCCCUUCAUUGUUUCUACUCGCCUUCAGAACUCAGCUGAAGCCACACCGGUGCCUUCAAUAUAUCGUGUAUUUUCCUCCACAGCACCGAUGACAAUCACAGGCAUGAAAGAAAUUCUUAAUUAUGUAUUUGGUUGCUUAAAAGUCUGUCUCCCUUCCUAAGGGCAGGGCUGGGUCUGACUCACCCACUGUUGUAUCCUGGACACUCUAGCCAAAGGCCCCAGUGUAACGGUGAAUAAAUCAACUCCCAGGGCCCCCA